UGGGCUCGAACGGCUUCUCAACGUUCGUGGAAACACGGAUAUCCCGCAAGGGAGUGGAGUCGAGGUGCUGCAUGGCUGUCGUCAGCUCGUGUCGUGAGAUGUUGGGUUAAGUCCCGCAACGAGCGCAACCCUUGCCCUGUUUUGCCAUCAUUAAGUUGGGAACUAUCAGGGGACCGCCAGCGAUAAGUUGGAGGAAGGUGGGGAUGACGUACUCUACG
This 218-nucleotide unclassified non-coding RNA is filed under the name uncultured Bryobacterales bacterium. RNAcentral's name for it is "contains 16S-23S intergenic spacer region". It matches the Rfam family "Bacterial small subunit ribosomal RNA", at positions 976 to 1195 of the family's 1533-position model. The record is from RNAcentral. Lineage: Bacteria; Pseudomonadati; Acidobacteriota; Terriglobia; Bryobacterales.